GCCAAGAGAGAAUCCAGUGGGUGGCCAGCAGGUGCCCAGAGGUGUGCCUAGGCAUGGAGCUGGGAAAUCUCCUUGGCCCCAAGUUUUCUGCUUGGGGAUGGAGGGUGGCUUAAGCUCCUAUUUGAGGAAAGUAGGUGCUCUGGGUACCUGGAGAUCUACCUGGAUGUGGAGCAGAGAGGACCUCCCCUGCACCAGGUUGUCUGUAAAGGAAGGAUGGGGCAGCUUGGGAUGGUAAUACAGGUGAAUUGGUGCUCUGAAUUCCUGGAGAUCUUCCUGGGGACAGAGUGGGGAGAUGCUCACUGCAUCAUAAUCUAUGAGCCAUGCUAGACCACAGUUUAUGCCCAGGAAGUGUGGGGCAGCUCAGGCUGCUGAAGCAGGUGAAUGGGUACCCUGCAUGCAUGGACAUCUGUCUGGGCAUGGAGUGGAGAGGGCCUGACUGCAACUAUAUUAUAUAGUAUAUAUAUUAUAUAUACUAUAUUAUAUAGUAUAUUACAUAUAAUUUUAUAUAUUUUAUAAUUAUAAUUUAUAAUUAUAUAUUUACAAUUAUAAUUUA
RNAcentral lists this long non-coding RNA (553 nucleotides) under Pan troglodytes (chimpanzee). RNAcentral describes it as "long non-coding RNA NONPTRT013296". Lineage: Eukaryota; Metazoa; Chordata; Mammalia; Primates; Hominidae. The record is from RNAcentral.